Molecule: small nucleolar RNA, 92 nt
Organism: Bison bison bison
Lineage: Eukaryota; Metazoa; Chordata; Mammalia; Artiodactyla; Bovidae
Source: Ensembl
GCCGGUGUAAAUGAUGAACUCACUUUUUUCCCCAUCAGAUCGACCAUGUUGAUGUCUUUGAAUACUUGCCAGUUAAUUCUGAUAACACCGGC